GAUGAACGCUAGCGGCAGGCCUAACACAUGCAAGUCGAGGGGUAGAAGCAGCUUGCUGCUUUGAGACCGGCGCACGGGUGCGUAACGCGUAUGCAAUCUACCUUUUACUAAGGAAUAGCCCAGAGAAAUUUGGAUUAAUGCCCUAUGGUAUAUUUGAGUGGCAUCAUUUAAAUAUUAAAGAUUUAUCGGUAAAAGGUGAGCAUGCUUCCCAUUAUUUAGUUGGUAAGGUAACGGCUUACCAAGACGAUGAUGGGUAGGGGUCCUGAGAGGGAGAUCCCCCAAACUGGUACUGAGACACGGACCAGACUCCUACGGGAGGCAGCAGUGAGGAAUAUUAGUCAAUAGAGGCAACUCUGAACCAGCCAUGCCGCGUGCAGGAUGACGGUCCUAUGGAUUGUAAACUGCUUUUGUACAGGAAGAAAAAGAGUUGCGUGUAGCUUAUUGACGGUACUGUAAGAAUAAGGAUCGGCUAACUCCGUGCCAGCAGCCGCCGUAA
Molecule: ribosomal RNA, 496 nt
Filed under: uncultured bacterium
Lineage: Bacteria
Description: partial 16S ribosomal RNA
Rfam family: Bacterial small subunit ribosomal RNA
Source: RNAcentral